GCGGACGGGUGAGUAACACGUGGAUAACCUACCUAUAAGACUGGGAUAACUUCGGGAAACCGGAGCUAAUACCGGAUAAUAUAUUGAACCGCAUGGUUCAAUAGUGAAAGACGGUUUUGCUGUCACUUAUAGAUGGAUCCGCGCCGCAUUAGCUAGUUGGUAAGGUAACGGCUUACCAAGGCGACGAUGCGUAGCCGACCUGAGAGGGUGAUCGGCCGCACUGGAACUGAGACACGGUCCAG
RNAcentral lists this ribosomal RNA (242 nucleotides) under uncultured Staphylococcus sp. Its description in RNAcentral is "partial 16S ribosomal RNA". It matches the Rfam family "Bacterial small subunit ribosomal RNA", at positions 98 to 334 of the family's 1533-position model. The record is from RNAcentral. Lineage: Bacteria; Bacillati; Bacillota; Bacilli; Caryophanales; Staphylococcaceae.